RNAcentral lists this ribosomal RNA (231 nucleotides) under uncultured bacterium. RNAcentral describes it as "partial 16S ribosomal RNA". It matches the Rfam family "Bacterial small subunit ribosomal RNA", at positions 118 to 347 of the family's 1533-position model. The record is from RNAcentral.
UGAGGAACAUGACCUUCGGCGGGGGAUAGCCGGCCCAACGGCCGGGUAAUACCGCGUACGACCACAUGGGGACAUCCCUGAGUGGUGAAAGCAGCAAUGCGCCGAUGGAGUGCCUCGCGGCCUAUCAGCUAGUUUGUGAGGUAACGGCUCACCAAGGCAACGACGGGUAGCUGGUCUGAGAGGAUGGCCAGCCACAUUGGGACUGAGACACGGCCCAGACCUCUACGGGAG